RNAcentral lists this ribosomal RNA (253 nucleotides) under uncultured prokaryote. Its description in RNAcentral is "partial 16S ribosomal RNA". It matches the Rfam family "Bacterial small subunit ribosomal RNA", at positions 524 to 776 of the family's 1533-position model. The record is from RNAcentral.
UACAGAGGUCCCAAGCGUUGUUCGGAUUCACUGGGCGUAAAGGGCGCGUAGGCGGUGCGGUAAGUCACCUGUGAAACCUCUAGGCUCAACCUAGAGCCUGCAGGCGAAACUGCCGUGCUUGAGGGUGGGAGAGGUGCGUGGAAUUCCCGGUGUAGCGGUGAAAUGCGUAGAUAUCUGGAGGAACACCGGUGGCGAAGGCGGCAUCCUGGACCAAUUCUGACGCUGAGGAGCGAAAGCCAGGGGAGCAAACGGG